AUGGGGGCCGAGGAGAGUCCCCAGGGAGGACAGACAGAGCGAGGCUCCCUCCCCCCAUCCCAGACCUGCCCCCCCAAAGGUGAGGCCUUCGCGCCCUCGCUCCUCCGGGAGCCGGGGUCCUGCGGGAGGGGUCCCCGCCCCGGGCGUCUCCGAGGAUGCGGGGGGUGGGGGGCGGCGUCUGCGGGGAGGCGAGGCCGCCCGCUCCCCCCGGCCGCGGCGCUGCGCUGCGGCGCGCACGGGCUCCGCGGGCUCCUAUUCCGGCGGGCGGCGGGCGCCGCAGGAAGGGCCGGUGCCUGCGCUCCCCCGCCCCUUCCCUCGCCUUCUGCUGACGCUGACGUCGGAGGAGGGAGCCGGAGGGACGCUCCGACCGCGGCCGGGAGGCUCCUGGGGGCCGGGGCUCCGAGAAUCAUUUGGGAACUUGUUAAAUUGGACUUCCAGCCUGGCUUCUCUCAUCUGCUGUUAAUACCUCAGGUAGCUCUGAUGUCACCACUUUGACAAACACUGCACUAAACUAUCCAGCAUAGUGCUCUAAGAUGGGACUCUGCCCAGUUCUUUUUUUUUUUUUAAUUUUUAUUUAUUUAUGAUAGUCACAGAAAGAGAGAGAGAGAGAGAGAGAGAGGCAGAGACACAGGCAGAGGGAGAAGCAGGCUCCAUGCACCGGGAGUCGGAUGUGGGAUUCGAUCCCGGGUCUCCAGGAUCGCGCCCUGGGCCAAAGGCAGGCGCCAAACCACUGCGCCACUCAGGGAUCCCUCUGCCCACUUCUUUAACAAAACAUUUUGGCAAACAUGAGCUUUUUUAAAUAUUAAAUCCCCUUUGAAGUAAGUAGGUAUUAUAAUCCCUGUUUAUAAGAAAAUUAAGACUAUAGGCAUGAUUUACCCCAGAUAAUGCAUAUAGUAUUAUUGUCUUGAACCUCUGUAAAUGCUAGUUAACCAUGUUUUCACUAUUCCAGCAACUAAAUUAAUUGUAUUGUGUGUGUGUGUGUGUGUGUGUAUGCAUAAAUGAUUUCAGAUACUAAUGAAUCUCUCCAGGACAGGGAUAACUAUACAUAAUAGGAUAUUUUAUAAUGCUUUUAAAACAAAGCCUUCCUUCUAUAUGACUGAAGGCCAUUUACUUAGGGUAGCUGAUUUUGAGCUUCAUCUCAAAAGGAUGAUGUCAACUUGGCAUUAUUGUCAGGAUAAGCAUAAUGUACAUGAAGUGUACAUCUUAGUGUCUGACAGGUGGUAGUUCCUCAACUAAUAGCAACUACUUAUCCUCGUAUAAACCUAGUGAGACAAUGAGUUCAUGAAAAGCUGAGAAAAUGGCAUUGCUCAUGAUGAGAAGUAUUUCCUCCUAAGUCAGAUGACAUCAUUCACCAGGCCUUUGACCACAGCAGAGGAGUAGGGUCACUAUUCAGUACUCAGCAAAGCAUUUGUUGUACGUAUGCUAUGUGUUAGGCACCGUUCUAGUGCUGGGAAUCCCAGGACAAGACCUACAUCCUGGCCUGCUCUGGAGGAGCCUACAGCGUAGUAAGAGAGAGAGAAAGAGAAGAAAGAAUCUGCUGACAGUUACAUUUCAGUGAAAGCAAGGAGGGGAUGAAACCCAGGGCCAAGACACCCCACCUGGAUGACAGAGUGAGGAAGAGUGCAAACAGAAAACCUGAGAAGACUCAUGAAGGGGGUGGCCCCUGAGUUAAGGAUUAGAAGACCAAUAAGAAUUUGGCAGAUUGAAAAAGGCUUGGGAAUAGAGUCCCCAACAUAGUAUCCAGUUUAUAAAGAAAAUACUGGCAAAUAGCCCUCAUAUCUGGAGCCCACCGUACAUGUGUGUCCUUGUUAGCUGAGUGACCUUGGGCAAGUUUGAUUAUAUGUGAGUUGAGAUUAUUAAAUGUAUUCAUCAGGGUAAGUGCAAGACUGGUUUCAGUUAUGUAUUGGAUAGUCGUGGAGGUGGUGGAAGUAUUAGAAAACAGAGACUGAUAUAAACAGACUGAUAUUAAAGUUAUCAGAAUUAGAGAAAAAAAGGCUAAUUUUAGAAUACAUUUAACAGAAAAUAUGUAGAAUUAGAAGAAGAUGACUAAAAAGGAUAACUGAAUGCAAUUCAGUCCUGUGAGGUGGGAAGCAUGAGGUACAUGUGUUCAGGAAUGGAUCACUGACCAUGUAGGUAAUGGUAUAUUGUUAACCCUAAGAGUCUAGAUUCUGGAACAGAAAGACCUGUUCUAAAGGAGAGAGUAUUUGUACAUGGAGAACUAAGAUCAUAGCGGCCACUUCCCCAGAGCAUACAUUAAAUUCCAUUCUAUUACUUGCCACCAUCACGAUCUUUCACACCCACGUCUUUGUUCCCAGAAUAGGGCAUGGACACCAGCGUCUGAAACUUAAUGGUCCUUGGGAGAAAUACAGCCUUCUCUGCAUGUGUCUGGAGAAGUGUAUCCUAAGCCAGAUACUGAGGAGAUAAUUGUAAUAAAUGGUGCUGCCUCUCCUUUCUGGUGCUAACCCUGAUAGCCAUCAUCAAAGUUUUGUUGUACACAAGAACCGUUUUGGCAACGGUUUUAGGACUAACGCAGCACCUGAGCCUGUGACCAGGAGAAAUUCUUUUUUAAAAACAAUUUUGUAGAAACAAUUUAUAGAAAUGGGGCCCAUUAUCUUAUCUCUUUCAUUCAGGAGUAGAGUGGAGUGGUUAAAAACAGGAACUCAGGAGUCAAAAGCAGACCUAAGUUUACCAGUUAUUGACUUUGGGCAAAUUAUUUUACCUUUCUCAGCUUUUUAAAAAAAACUUAAAUUCAAUUUGCGAACAUAUAGUAUAACACCCAGUGCUCAUUCCAUCAAGUGCCCUCCUUAUGCCUAUCACCCAGUUACCCCAUCCCCCCCACUGACUCUUCCGCAACCCUUUGUUUGUUUCCCAGAGUUAGGAGUCCCUUAUGGUUUUUCUCCCUCUCUAAUUUUUCCCACUCAGUUCCCCUCUUUCCCUUAUACUCCCUUUCACAUUUCUUAUAUUCCACAUAUGAGUGAAACCAUAUGAUGAUUGUCCUUCUUCGAUUGACUUUUUUUCACUCAGCAUAAUACCAUCCUCUCAGCUUUUUUUCUCAUUUGCAAAAUGGGGUGGUAUCCCCUUCAUGGUGGCUGUGUCCACAUAUGAGAUAAUGGUGUUAAGUGCUUCACACAUGUAAAGUGCUCAGUGAAUGGAAGCACACAAUUACGGCCCUUUGUCCAGUACAUAUUUACCAAAGGCCUGCUGUGUUUCAGGGACUGUGCUUGACGUAAGGAGGCAAAGAUGAACCAGUUAGGGUUCCUGCUCCCAAGGGACUUGCAGUGUAGUGCAGGAGAUGUAGAUGUAAUUAGCUCAGUGCAGAAGAGCACUGGGAGUGCAGGGUACUGCCAGCAGGGGGCAGGUAAGGACUGUAGUUAAGGAUAGGAGUGGGAGAUCCCUGGGUAUGGAACGGUGGGUAUUCAAGUAGGAAAGCCUUCACUGAGGGGGUGACAUUUGAGGAGAGAAGCUUAAAGUCAGCUCUAAAUUGGCCAAUUGGAUAAAGGGGGGAGAGCAUUUCAAGGGAAGGAAAUUUCACAGAGCCUUGGCAUCGUGUAUUCAGGGAAGCUCUAGCUUUCUGAAAUGUCCGGAAAAUAGUUCUGUGUGGAGUAUAGUGAAAUUUUGAAUUUUCAUUUGAUGUUUUUUGCCAAGGAGUUUGGAAUUUCUUUAGUGGGAAGAGAAUGCAAUUAAAGCAUUUAGAGUGAGAGGGCAGCAUGAUUAGAACUGCAUAUUAUAGUAAUAGUUCAGACCAUAAUAUGAAAGAUUGGAGUGGGCAAAUAUAGGCAU
Molecule: long non-coding RNA, 3780 nt
Filed under: Canis lupus familiaris (dog)
Lineage: Eukaryota; Metazoa; Chordata; Mammalia; Carnivora; Canidae
Description: lncRNA (ENSCAFG00030017102.1)
Source: RNAcentral